GGUGAGGUGGCUGAGAGGCUGAAGGCGCUCCCCUGCUAAGGGAGUAUGCGGUCAAAAGCUGCAUCCGGGGUUCGAAUCCCCGCCUCACCGCCA
Molecule: transfer RNA, 93 nt
Filed under: Escherichia coli
Lineage: Bacteria; Pseudomonadati; Pseudomonadota; Gammaproteobacteria; Enterobacterales; Enterobacteriaceae
Also listed under: 2 other names
Description: tRNA-Ser
Rfam family: tRNA
About the family: Transfer RNA (tRNA) molecules are approximately 80 nucleotides in length.
Source: RNAcentral